RNAcentral lists this long non-coding RNA (585 nucleotides) under Nicotiana tabacum (common tobacco). RNAcentral describes it as "long non-coding RNA (NTAB_LNC003993)". Lineage: Eukaryota; Viridiplantae; Streptophyta; Magnoliopsida; Solanales; Solanaceae. The record is from RNAcentral.
CCAUAUACUCCUUCAAUCCAACUUUUGUAUGGACUCCGAGCUGCUCUCGACCUUCUUUUCGAGGAAGGCCUCGAAAAUGUGAUUGCAAGACACGCUCGCCUGGGCAAAGCAACAAGGUAACAGUAAAACCUCUGUUAGUACCUGUCAUGUUUUUGUUAAUUAGUGAAUCGCAGCUUAAUUUACACUUCGCUAAGAUAAUACUUCCUCUUGUCCCGUUUUACAUGGAACUCUUUCUUAGUCUGUUGCAAAAAGAAAGGCACCUUUCUAUAUCUGGAAACUCGUUAACUGUAAUGACAUUCGCAUAUAGACACAGAAUAUCAUGCAUAACAUGUUCGAGUCCAUAAGUUCUAAGGGUCCUUUUUGCAUGUAGCACAAAUCUUUCUUUCUUAAACUCCGUGUCUAGUCAAACACUGCCAUAUAAAAUGAAACACAGGGAGUAGUAUUCUACGUCAACUUGAGCAUUAUAGCUUACCAAUCUUGGUAAAAUCGAUGUAUAUCUAGGAGAUGCAUCACUUUCACCAGGAUUCCGCCUUAGCAUACAUAAUUAUUGGAGAAAUGAUACAAGUUUUUGGAAUGAAAAUGCAG